Molecule: long non-coding RNA, 1101 nt
Filed under: Pongo abelii (Sumatran orangutan)
Lineage: Eukaryota; Metazoa; Chordata; Mammalia; Primates; Hominidae
Description: lincRNA
Source: RNAcentral
GAUAAACCAGUAUUCUGGACUAAGCCAACCUGGGAGACCCUAGGAAGCCUGUUUGAGAAAGUGACAUUUAAAUUGAGACUUGGCUGUGGCUGUGGCUACAUAUCUAAUUGCAAACUCCUAGAGAAGGGCUCAACAGUGAGUGUUGAGGCUGCACAGAGGAGGAAGGUAGCACAAUGAUGGAAGGCUUCCUAAAGAGAUAACACUAACAAAGUUGACCUUAGAAUUGGAGUGCCCGGGUUAGAACCUUGCUGGUACCACCUGCUUACUGCAUGCUUCUGAUGUGAGUUCAGGAGAAGCCACUGGCAAGGACAGCAAAGAACAGGAGAACACUCUAGCUUCCCUGAUAGCAUUCAAGGUGCUGUCCAAACUGACUGUGAUGGCACCCUCCAGACAGACAGCGAUGCCACAUGUUCAAGAUGGCAGAAUCACUAACAGCUUCAAUUCCUGAAUGACUGCAGAGCAAAAUUUCUUACCCGCAACAUACACUCUAUUUUCAGCCUCCCUGGACUGUUACAUAAUGAUACAUAAAAAUAUUUCUUGUGUUGAGGCAUCCCAAAUUUGAUCUAUUUGUCAUCACAGUUUAUCCUACGAAUAUAUUUCUGAUCCAAAUAAUGCUAGAUUCAUGAGAGUUUAUAGUCCAGAGAUUUUUUUUUUUUUUUUUUUUUGAGACAGAAUCUCACUGUCUGCCAGGCUGGGGUGCAGUGGCAUAAUCUUAGCUCACUGCAACCUCCGCCUCCUGGGCUCAAGUGAUCCUCCCUCCUUAGCCUCCAUGAAUAGCUGGGACCACAGGUGUGCACCACCCCACCCAGCUAAUUAUUUUGUAUUUUUUGCAGAGACGGGGUUUCACCACAUUGCCCAAGCUGGUCUCAAACUCCUAGACUUAAGGGAUCUUCCCGCCUUGGCCUCCCAAAAUGCUGAAAUUACAUGUGUUAGCCAUAGUAAUAGUUCCUAGCCAUAGUCCAGAGAUAUUUUAAAAACUUUAGUGUGAGUUAUUUCUCUUUGCUAUAAUUCUCUCAUGCAUUUUGAAAACCUUUUCUGCCAUACAGUGGUUUUUGGGAAGUCCUUUUGGACAGACAUAUCACAGGAUGGAGAAACUAAAAA